RNAcentral lists this ribosomal RNA (254 nucleotides) under Clostridioides difficile. Its description in RNAcentral is "partial 16S ribosomal RNA". It matches the Rfam family "Bacterial small subunit ribosomal RNA", at positions 1 to 264 of the family's 1533-position model. Lineage: Bacteria; Bacillati; Bacillota; Clostridia; Peptostreptococcales; Peptostreptococcaceae. The record is from RNAcentral.
UUAUUUGAGAGUUUGAUCCUGGCUCAGGAUGAACGCUGGCGGCGUGCCUAACACAUGCAAGUUGAGCGAUUUACUUCGGUAAAGAGCGGCGGACGGGUGAGUAACGCGUGGGUAACCUACCCUGUACACACGGAUAACAUACCGAAAGGUAUGCUAAUACGGGAUAAUAUAUUUGAGAGGCAUCUCUUGAAUAUCAAAGGUGAGCCAGUACAGGAUGGACCCGCGUCUGAUUAGCUAGUUGGUAAGGUAACGGC